UUCCGGUUGAUCCCGCCGGACCUGACUGCUAUCGGAUUGGUACUAAGCCAUGUGAGUCGUUGUAGCAAUACAAGGCAUACGGCUCAGUAACACGUAGUCAAUCUAACCUAUGGACGGGGAUAACCUCGGGAAACUGAGGAUAAACCCCGAUAGAUCAUAAUGCCUGGAACGGUUUAUGGUCCAAAUGAUUCGUCGCCGUAGGGUGGGACUGCGGCCUAUCAGCUUGUUGGUGAGGUUAUGGCCCACCAAGGCUAUUACAGGUACGGGCUCUGAGAGGAGAAGCCCGGAGAUGGGUACUGAGACACGGACCCAGGCCCUAUGGGGCGCAGCAGGCGAGAAACCUUUGCAAUGUGCGCAAGCACGACAAGGUUAAUCCGAGUGUUUCCUGUUAAAGGAAUCUUUUGUUAGUUCUAAAACCACUGAUGAAUAAGGGGUGGGCAAGUUCUGGUGUCAGCCGCCGCGGUAAAACCAGCACCUCAAGUGGUCAGGAUGAUUAUUGGGCCUAAAGCAUCCGUAGCCUGUUCUGUAAGUUUCCGGUUAAAUCCAUUAGCUCAACUAAUGGGCUGCCGAAAAUACUGCAAAACUAGGGAGUGGGAGAGGUAGACGGUACUCGGUAGGAAGGGGUAAAAUCCUUUGAUCUAUUGAUGACCACCUG
This 655-nucleotide ribosomal RNA is filed under the name uncultured archaeon. RNAcentral's name for it is "bacterial SSU rRNA". It matches the Rfam family "Archaeal small subunit ribosomal RNA", at positions 1 to 663 of the family's 1478-position model. The record is from RNAcentral.